Molecule: transfer RNA, 75 nt
Filed under: Cephaloticoccus primus
Lineage: Bacteria; Pseudomonadati; Verrucomicrobiota; Opitutia; Opitutales; Opitutaceae
Description: tRNA-Lys
Rfam family: tRNA
About the family: Transfer RNA (tRNA) molecules are approximately 80 nucleotides in length. Their secondary structure includes four short double-helical elements and three loops (D, anti-codon, and T loops).
Source: RNAcentral
GGGUUGAUAGCUCAAUGGUAGAGCAGUUGACUUUUAAUCAAUUGGUUCAGGGUUCGAGUCCCUGUCAACCCACCA